Molecule: long non-coding RNA, 5152 nt
Organism: Parus major (Great Tit)
Lineage: Eukaryota; Metazoa; Chordata; Aves; Passeriformes; Paridae
Exons: 3
Source: RefSeq, a predicted model, not a curated record
CCCGCCGUCCGGCGCUUGGGGGUCCCUGCGCUCCCUCCUCGCUCUUUACUCCACGCGGGAAGCGGACACGAGGGCCCGUGGGAGAUGCCUCGCGUCUUGCUGCCACCUCUCGGGUACCGCUUCUCGUCAGGCCACCGGUGCUGUCGUCUGUUCAGGCGCCUCACAGGUUCUCCAGAGGUGCAUCCUUCAGCAUAGAACUGGUGUCAGUUCUCCAGUGGUUUCACCCGACCACCUGUCUAGGGUUCACAGCCAUGGACAAAGUAUGCACUGCGUGGGCACUUGGAGCAUGGCAGCUGGGUUUCCUCACAGACCCUGAGAUGACUUCAAGAUGUCUUGGUUGCCACUGUUACCAGUUCUGGGGAGAAAAUGAGCACUUAUCUGACACCUCAAAGAUGUGGGUACCAAUCUCAUCCCUACUCAUGCCACCUCAGGAGUGCCACCGUCUCUCUCCUUGCUGUUGUUUCUGUCUCAUUCCUUGUUUCAGCUACAAACUCUCCAGGACAUGAUUUGCUUCCCACCAUGCCCCUGUUAUUGAAUUCUUUUCUUGGUAGGGAAAGUUUAAUUUUUCCUUACAGUAGUUCAAAGCAAUCCACCAGUGCCGAGCCCACUUGGUGUUGCUUACUGCCUUCCCAGACCACAACCUGGAGCCAUUUGCCCUAGAGAAACCCCUCAGGUGCAACCCAGGAGGGUCACUGCAUACAGAUCCAAACCAGGGAGGUGCCAAUGGAAUAGCCUCUGGCAAACAGAACAAACUCCUGGCAAGUAUAAAAUUCAUUUUAAUCCUUGGCAAUGCUUUGAUAUUGGAAGGAUAUGGGCUGUAGCACUCCUCAGGCUGGGGAUAUUCCCUUGUCCAGAGAAGGUGUACCUGAGGAUGGUGGCAGGGGAAGGAGAGGCACAGGCUGAACUGAUGAUGACACAUGUCAUGGUAAUUCCACUAUUUUCCCUUUCCUUUCUGUUUGGUUUACUGAGGAGGGAGUGAAAGGCAUAGAGGGGAGGGGUGAUAGUGUUUUUAUGUCAAAACAAGUGUUUUUAUGUCAAAACAUUAGCUAUCAGCUAGAUCUUCCCCAGUAAAUAAAGGGACUUGAUGUGAAUUCUACUCCAUCUCAGAAAUCAUACCCACAUGCUUCAAGUGUUCUUUUCCCUUUACAUUUCUUUUUUUUUUUUUUUCCAUUUUAAAAUCUAUGCAAUUGUGAGAAGUCACUUAUCCCUGUCACAAGAGAUCCAGGCACAGCAAAUAGAAGCUGAUUACUUGCCCCUGGGAGACAGCUGAAGUAUUUCUCCAAGGGGCACUGCUACAACACAGUCCCAAUCCUGCCAGCAGCCACCAGGAGCCUCCAUGCUCCUAUCCAUAUACCAUAUCCUAUAUUCUAUACCAUAUCCAUAUCCUAUACCAGCCAUAGGGUGCCCAUCCUUUAUAGGUCCUGAAUUAACUCAGGCAUUUUGUUCAGUAAAAGAUGAUUAAAGAAGCUGCAAGAUGUUAUCAUUAGAGGCUUCCUAUUAAACUAUGACUAUAAAUACUGGCACAGGAAGAAUAAAGCUUCUUUAAGCUAAGCAUGUCAGAAGAUAGUAUUUCCUUUAACAUUGGCCAUAAAAUGUAUUGGUUGACCAAAGUAUUUAUCAGUGCUACCUCUUAGGAAGUCAACAAGUUCAUUUUCAGUUCCUCUGACUGCUUUAUUUUUAAUGCAGUAAUGUGGUUAUCUAUUACAUAAAAUUGCAUCAUUAAAUAGAUUCCUCAAACCAUUUUCAACACCACAAAGGCAAAAGCUUUACACAAAAGGAUACCAAGGCUCAAAAAGAAAAUUCACCAGUUAGAACACAGCAAAACCCUAUUGCCUGUAGCAUAUUUUGUUUCCUUUGCAGCUUAAUAAUAAUUCCAAAUUUCCUUAUUUAAAAUGCUUGUUCUGGGAUUAAUUAAAUCAGCUGGUCUGAGCCUUGAGCUGCUGAUGUGUACAUUUAUUCUUUCCUAAUGUAUGGUGGGUUUUUUUCAAUAUACAGGAGCAGUGGCAGCAAGCCAGAGCAAUGCCAAUGUGCUGUGCCAAACAAAGAGCUCUAAAGCAGAAUAGUUUGUUGGAGUAUUCUUCUUCCCCCUUGAUGCCCUGGCAUGGGGAAUCACUUCCACACCUCCUAUUUGUGCCUGGCUACUGGUGUGAGCAGACACCAGUGAGUCAGGAGGAACCUGGGAGUGAUGGCAGAAUAUUAGUGCAUUUACAAGUAGAAUUCUGAGCAUGGCCUUUAUCCUGGGUAUUUUACCUGUGCCAAUCAAGCAGCAAAAAUAGUCCUUUAUAAAAGGCAAGAUGAAACUGUGCAAAGAGUGUAGAUAACAAUCUUCGUGCUUGCUGUGGAUCAAACAGAAUAAGAUGUGCAAUAGUUUGGGAGGUGCUGGUUUGCCUCUGAAUGUCUGAAGUUUGGAGAGAUUUGCUCACUUUGGGCAUGUACCCAAAGCCAUCCGCAGCAAGGGGAGUUGGCUGGGGCAGAGAACUGACCUUUUUAUUGCAGGGCUGGUCUAUGGUCAUCAGAAGAAACCUGCUGCUGUUCAGCCUGCAGCGCCUUUUCAUCAGCAUUGCUCUCACUGACAGUAAUGGGAAUUAUGGUUGCAGUUUAACUUUCUCAUGUGCCAAGGUAUAGCCGCACACAGUUCUCCUCUUUAUAAAAGAAGACCAGGCACUCUAUAACUGCUAAGAACAGGCUGUCUGAAAGGUGUUUUAUUAACUAGAGUUGGGGAAGAAAAUGAAACUGAAAAGAAUACGACUGCAUAUUAAACUACAUGAAGUGGUCAUGACAACUGGGAAUCUCAGCAUCAUAAAAUUUUAACAGCUGGAUGCAAUCAGUGGGGAUUUUCUAUUUUUCUUUUUUUUGUUAAGCUUAAGAAAGAAGAAGAGGAAGAGGAAAAAAAAAGAAAAAGAAAAGCUUCAUUUUAUUCAAGCAAGCUUUUUAUCCAGCUCAGCUUUCUUUGCUUAAUAUCAGAAGCUGUCUUUACUUCUCUAUAAAUCUCAGCACUGCCUGUGCUUAGUUGACAUCGUCCUUUUCCCGGGGCAGAGAUUCCACAGCUGGAGGUGUUCAAUAUCCCCAACAGCAGCACGACAAGGAAUGUUACAGGCACGUUAUAGGGAGACUUCCCCUGAGUGUAUGCAAUUUUCAGAACUUAACAAAUAAUUAAUCAAAAUCAAAUUUUACCUCACAAUUCAUCAAGACUCAACUGUGCCUGAAAUCCCACAGUAGUUCUUCAACAAAAGGACAAAGUUCCACGGUAAGUCAGCAGAAACACUUUAAUGUUUGUCUGGGCAUCUUCCAUUUCAUCACAUGGAGUCUCAGCCCAGGCUUUCACUUAUAUAGGUUUCUUUCUUUAGCACUGCUUGCUUCCUGGUAGUGUCAGCACUUGCCUUGAGGUAGCUGAAGAAACAUCUCACAGAUUUUAUCAGACCUAUAGAAACAGAGGACGUUACCGAAAAGAAUGUAACGGAUUUCCCACCCCCAGAAAAAGCAUAUGUUUAAAAAACAAGUUCAGAAUUGUAUAUAAUUUAUGGAAUGGUAUUCCUUGAUAGCUCCAGUGAGGAUUGGCUUAUUUGUCCAGGGAGUAAUUGUAUAUUAUUCAACAUAACUGAGUUUGAUGGCUCUCUGUCUGACUUGUAUGGCUUUGCUUAGGCAGCCUUAUAAACAAGCAUGUUUCCUCAGUUCAUUGUUAUUUCUGUGUCUGUUAAAAUGCAAACUGACUCCAAACUUCUGACUUCACCUUUCAAUGAUUACAUGUGCAUUUUUGUUUACUAAAAUAACUUCACUUUUCAUUUACUGAUGGCUCAUGAAGCCUACAACAGCAUCCACACAUCCGAAGAAAAUUGCUUCUCUUGUUGCAUUUUCAGCCUCCCCAAAUCCCACUUGUCUCCAAAGUCACAGGUUUUCCAGAGCAGAGGUUGCAUUCUGCAUAAACUCCUAAGCCCUUGUUUUGAGGGCUGUGGAUGAGCUUUGCCUCUCCUGAGGGACUCAGCACUACACAUUUGUACUGAGGGUCAGAGCAAGGCAGGAUGGAGCAGUGAGGCUGCACAAAGAGCAGAUAUCAUCUGGGGAGUUUUCACCUUCAGUCUCCCAGCUCCUGCAGUGGGUUGCCCUAAAUUAUGCUUUCCAUGUUCUUCCACAAAAUAAUUUGGAAACACCUGUAGAAGGGCCAAAAUAAACACUAGCAGCUGGUGUUUGGAAAUGGCUGGGGCUGCCCUUUGAUGAGGUGCCUGGGAAGGGAGCAGGGUACAUCGCCUGGCAGUGCCCAUACCAGUGAACUGUGGAGAAAACUGGUGGGCAAUGAAAUGCUGCCUGGGCUUGGUGACUGCAAAGACCUGGGACGCGGACCUGGUCUCCAAAUUUGGGGGACCGUGUCUGGACUGUGAAGGACUUCUGAGUGGUGGGCUUGCUUCAGUCCCAAAUGUCUCUAACUGAAGUAAACCCUCACCAAACGAAGCUGCUGCAUGUGCUUUGAGCAGAGAUGUGAACUCAGAGCCACCAGCACAGGUUAAAUGAUCAGAGCAAAGAGACAAGAAAUAUGCUUUUCUAUGGAGAGCCAGUUAAAAGUGCAACCAUACCACCGUGCUUGCACUACGUGAUGUAUUUCAUAGGCUGGUACAAGGCACUGUGUGGGGAUAAGGCUUUUUUUUCCAAGACAAAUUGCUGCUCAGGGGGUCCUCGGGAGGAUCACUGAGUCAUCUUCAUGUAUCACUCCAAAUGAACUAGCAGCAUCCACGUGAAAACCCGGGCAGUCUGUGAAUGAACAGCCUUGGAGGGAGAUGUUUGAGUGACAGUCGGCAUCGUGCUGGCACCUGAUGGGUGUCACCACUGGGUGACACGAAAUGCGCUCUGCGGGACUGGCACUUGUGCUCCGAGCAGACUUUUCCCCCUUGCGGCCGACAUCUGAGGAGGGCAGGGGCUUUGCGGGGAACACACGGCGUAAGGACUCAGCUCCCGUUUCCUGAGCUCCUCCUCGCACCUCCAGCUACAGACGGCCCGGAGAGCCCGGCGUGUCCGACCCCCGCCCGGGAAAGCGGCCGGAGGAGAGCAAGGGUGGUCCCUUCCCCGCAGUUCCCGGGACAGCAUCCCCGCUCCGGUGCCGCCACGAUGUGGCCCCGGUGCCGCUCCGCUCCCUCCCCUCUCCCGGUACCGCUCCCGGUAC